RNAcentral lists this ribosomal RNA (449 nucleotides) under uncultured bacterium. RNAcentral describes it as "partial 16S ribosomal RNA". It matches the Rfam family "Bacterial small subunit ribosomal RNA", at positions 330 to 793 of the family's 1533-position model. The record is from RNAcentral.
GCCAGACUCCUACGGGAGGCAGCAGUGGGGAAUAUUGCACAAUGGGGGAAACCCUGAUGCAGCAACGCCGCGUGAAGGAAGACGGUUUUCGGAUUGUAAACUUCUAUCAAUAGGGAAGAAAGAAAUGACGGUACCUAAAUAAGAAGCCCCGGCUAACUACGUGCCAGCAGCCGCGGUAAUACGUAGGGGGCGAGCGUUAUCCGGAUUCACUGGGUGUAAAGGGAGCGUAGACGGCCAAGCAAGCCAGGGGUGAAAGCCCGGGGCCCAACCCCGGGACUGCCCUUGGAACUGCACGGCUGGAGUGCAGGAGGGGCAGGCGGAAUUCCUGGUGUAGCGGUGAAAUGCAUAGAUAUCAGGAGGAGCACCGGUGGCGAAGGCGGCCUGCUGGACUGCGACUGACGUUGAGGCCCGAAAGCGUGGGGAGCAAACAGGAUUAGAUACCCCCGUAC